GACGAACGCUGGCGGCGUGCUUAACACAUGCAAGUCGAACGGAAAGGCCCUGCUUUUGUGGGGUGCUCGAGUGGCGAACGGGUGAGUAACACGUGAGUAACCUGCCCUUGACUUUGGGAUAACUUCAGGAAACUGGGGCUAAUACCGGAUAGGAGCUCCUGCUGCAUGGUGGGGGUUGGAAAGUUUCGGCGGUUGGGGAUGGACUCGCGGCUUAUCAGCUUGUUGGUGGGGUAGUGGCUUACCAAGGCUUUGACGGGUAGCCGGCAUGAGAGGGUGACCGGCGACAUUGGGACUGAGAUACGGCGCAGAGUCCAACGGGAGGCAGCAGUGGGGAAUAUUACACAAUGGGCGGAAGCCUGAUGCAGCAACGCCGCGUGCGGGAUGACGGCCUUGGUGUUGUAAACCGCUUUCGCCUGUGACGAAGCGUGAGUGACGGUAAUGGGUAAAGAAGCACCGGCUAACUACGUG
Molecule: ribosomal RNA, 468 nt
Filed under: uncultured bacterium
Lineage: Bacteria
Description: partial 16S ribosomal RNA
Rfam family: Bacterial small subunit ribosomal RNA
Source: RNAcentral